UACGUAGGUGGCAAGCGUUAUCCGGAUUUAUUGGGCGUAAAGGGAACGCAGGCGGUCUUUUAAGUCUGAUGUGAAAGCCUUCGGCUUAACCGGAGUAGUGCAUUGGAAACUGGGAGACUUGAGUGCAGAAGAGGAGAGUGGAACUCCAUGUGUAGCGGUGAAAUGCGUAGAUAUAUGGAAGAACACCAGUGGCGAAAGCGGCUCUCUGGUCUGUGACUGACGCUGAGGUUCGAAAGCGUGGGUAGCAAACAGG
RNAcentral lists this ribosomal RNA (253 nucleotides) under uncultured bacterium. RNAcentral describes it as "partial 16S ribosomal RNA". It matches the Rfam family "Bacterial small subunit ribosomal RNA", at positions 524 to 776 of the family's 1533-position model. The record is from RNAcentral.